UACAGAGGUGGCAAGCGUUGCUCGGAAUUACUGGGCGUAAAGGGCGCGUAGGCGGCCUACUAAGUCAGACGUGAAAUCCCCCGGCUUAACCUGGGAACUGCGUCUGAUACUGGAAGGCUUGAGGAUGGGAGAGGGAUGUAGAAUUCCAGGUGUAGCGGUGAAAUGCGUAGAUAUCUGGAGGAACACCGGUGGCGAAGGCGGCAUCCUGGACCGGCAUUGACGCUGAGGCGCGAAAGCUAGGGGAGCAAACGGG
Molecule: ribosomal RNA, 253 nt
Filed under: uncultured bacterium
Lineage: Bacteria
Description: partial 16S ribosomal RNA
Rfam family: Bacterial small subunit ribosomal RNA
Source: RNAcentral